RNAcentral lists this ribosomal RNA (394 nucleotides) under uncultured bacterium. RNAcentral's name for it is "partial 16S ribosomal RNA". It matches the Rfam family "Bacterial small subunit ribosomal RNA", at positions 523 to 918 of the family's 1533-position model. The record is from RNAcentral.
AUACGUAGGGAGCGAGCGUUGUCCGGAAUUACUGGGCGUAAAGGGCGCGUAGGCGGCGCUUCAAGUCGUCUGUCAAAUGGGAGGGCUUAACCCUUUUUCGCAGACGAAACCGGAGAGCUUGAGAAGCAGAGAGGCAAACAGAAUUCCUGGUGUAGCGGUGAAAUGCGUAGAUAUCAGGAAGAAUACCAGUGGCGAAGGCGGUUUGCUGGCUGCAUACUGACGCUGAAGCGCGAAAGCCAGGGGAGCGAACGGGAUUAGAUACCCCGGUAGUCCUGGCAGUAAACGAUGUAUGCUGGGUGUGAGACUAGCGAUAGUUUCGUGCCGAAGUUAACGCGAUAAGCAUACCGCCUGGGGAGUACGGUCGCAAGAUUGAAACUCAAAUGAAUUGGCGGGG